ACCGCGGAGGCCGGUGCAGCCCGUGGGCUCAGCUCGCUCUGCAGGGAAGGCUUGUCUACGCCCCCCGCCCGUAACUCGGUCUGGUCUGGGGAGGGGGGGAAUUUGUUUUUUCUGGAAGUACCCCCCCACCACCACUGUGGUGAAGAAUCUGAGGCUGGGCUCCAAUCGAGGCGGAGGCUGCAGGGCCCGCGGGGCGCCCCCCGCUCCGCACACUCCUCCCUGGAGCCCUGGAAGGCGCAGCCCCGGGGGGCCCCCCUGCACCCUCGGAGGAGGCAGCGGCGGUGAGUCGGCCCCCUUUUUCCUGCAUGGCACCCCUCUUCUGGGCCAGGGCAGGGGCCGCGGCAGAUAAACCUGCCAGUUAUUUCUGCAAAGGAAACGUGGAAGGCAUGAAGGCCAGUGCAUGGAAAACGCUCCGAUUUUGAUAAAAAGAGGCCGGCUCACCUUGGAAGCCUCCCUCCUGCCUGUCAGAAGAUGCAAAGAUGUUUCCAGUGAAGGGGCUGAUGAAUUGAGGGAAAAGAGACAUGGCCAAUCCUCAGACUCGGUGGUGACACAGGAAUGACACUCAAGAAAUUGUCAUCGAAUGGACCAGCCAAUGUCACUUCCAACCAUACUGCCGUCUGAAAUUGCAGAAGCCCUCCACCUGCCACCCUAACCGCUACUUCCUGUGCCAGGCAGGCUCUGUCCAUGAUGUCAUAAUUCAGAAAACUAUCCCAGAUGUUAUGGAUAGAAUGUGUCCCCAAAAAUAUGUUCGAUAAAUCCUAACCCCUAUACCUAUGGUCGUAAUCCCAUUUUGGAAUGGGUUUUUUGUUAUGCUAAUAGGGCAGUUUUAGUGUAGGGUGUAUCUUAAAUCAGUCUCUUUUGAGAUCUAAAUCAAGCAGAUUAGUUACAGAGAAGCAAGCAGAGAUGGGGAAAGGUAGAUACCACACCCCCUGAAGGUCACCAAGGAACCACGGGACUGGGAAGGCCUUUUCCCCAGAACCAACAGACAGAGAACACCUUCCCCUAGAGCCAGCACCCUGAAUUCGAACUUCUAGCCUCCUAAACUGUGAGAAAAUAAAUUUCUGUUUGUUAAAUCCA
Loxodonta africana (African savanna elephant) is the source of this 1077-nucleotide long non-coding RNA. RefSeq lists it as uncharacterized. The transcript is spliced from 3 exons. Lineage: Eukaryota; Metazoa; Chordata; Mammalia; Proboscidea; Elephantidae. The record is from RefSeq and is a predicted model, not a curated record.